GACGGAGGAUGCAAGCGUUAUCCGGAAUGAUUGGGCGUAAAGCGUUCGCAGGUGGCUGUUCAAGUCUGCUGUCAAAGACCGGGGCUUAAACCUAGAAAGGCAGUGGAAACUGAACGGCUGGAGUGCAGUAGGGGUAGAGGGAAUUCCCAGUGCAGCGGUGAAAUGCGUAGAGAUUGGGAAUAACACCGGUGGCGAAAGCGCUCUGCUGGACUGCAACUGACACUGAGUGACGAAAGCUAGUGGAGCGAAAGGG
This 253-nucleotide ribosomal RNA is filed under the name uncultured bacterium. RNAcentral's name for it is "partial 16S ribosomal RNA". It matches the Rfam family "Bacterial small subunit ribosomal RNA", at positions 524 to 776 of the family's 1533-position model. The record is from RNAcentral.